RNAcentral lists this unclassified non-coding RNA (387 nucleotides) under Hevea brasiliensis (rubber tree). Lineage: Eukaryota; Viridiplantae; Streptophyta; Magnoliopsida; Malpighiales; Euphorbiaceae. The record is from RNAcentral.
UGAGAGGGGCAGGCAAGUAGAGAAGGGAAGCGACGGCGGAGGCGGCGAUGGACACAGAGGGUUGAAGAAGGUAAAAGAGAAGAGUAUUCGAAGCGGCCAAAAGGAGGAGCGUGUGGAUAUUGAAAAACUGAGGGGAUCAUGAUGUUUUUUCUUCUAUUAAGUAGUUUUCAAUCUGAAUCUAAACUCCAUUGCUGCUCCUCUUCUUUCUUCCUUCCCUCUCUCCCUGUACGCUCGCUACCAAUCGCAAUCGCUUCCCUUUGGGACCUCUUGAUGAUGAUGAUCAGCUUACAAAUCUGAAGGUUCCCAAUCCCAAUCUCGAAUCGAAUGUACUGAUUAAAUUGAUUAAUCAGCUAGCUUAUUUCUAAAAUUAAUUUUUUUAAACUACUU